CACGAUUGCUUGCAAUUGGUGGCGACCGGCGCACGGGUGCGUAACGCGUAUGCAACUUACCCUUUACAGGGGGAUAGCCCGGGGAAACCCAGAUUAAUAUCCCAUAGUAUAAUAAUAUCGCAUGGUAUAAUUAUUAAAGAUUUAUCGGUAAAGGAUGGGCAUGCGUAAGAUUAGCUAGUUGGUAAGGUAAUGGCUUACCAAGGCUACGAUCUUUAGGGGGCCUGAGAGGGUGAACCCCCACACUGGUACUGAGACACGGACCAGACUCCUACGGGAGGCAGCAGUGAGGAAUAUUGCGCAAUGGAGGAAACUCUGACGCAGCCAUGCCGCGUGAAGGAAGACGGCCUUACGGGUUGUAAACUUCUUUUAUACGAGAAUAAACCCCCCUACGUGUAGGGGGCUGAAGGUAUCGUACGAAUAAGGACCGGCUAACUCCGUGCCAGCAGCCGCGGUAAUACGGAGGGUCCAAGCGUUAUCCGGAUUCAUUGGGUUUAAAGGGUGCGUAGGCGGCUUGAUAAGUCAGUAG
This 526-nucleotide ribosomal RNA is filed under the name uncultured Bacteroidota bacterium. Its description in RNAcentral is "bacterial SSU rRNA". It matches the Rfam family "Bacterial small subunit ribosomal RNA", at positions 71 to 594 of the family's 1533-position model. Lineage: Bacteria; Pseudomonadati; Bacteroidota. The record is from RNAcentral.